GAUGAACGCUGGCGGCGUGCCUAAUACAUGCAAGUCGAGCGAACGGACGAGAAGCUUGCUUCUCUGAUGUUAGCGGCGGACGGGUGAGUAACACGUGGAUAACCUACCUAUAAGACUGGGAUAACUUCGGGAAACCGUAGCUAAUACCGGAUAAUAUUUUGAACCGCAAGGUUCAAAAGUGAAAGACGGUCUUGCUGUCACUUAUAGAUGGAUCCGCGCUGCAUUAGCUAGUUGGUAAGGUAACGGCUUACCAAGGCAACGAUGCAUAGCCGACCUGAGAGGGUGAUCGGCCACACUGGAACUGAGACACGGUCCAGACUCCUACGGGAGGCAGCAGUAGGGAAUCUUCCGCGAUGGGCGAAAGCCUGACGGAGCAACGCCGCGUGAGUGAUGAAGGUCUUCGGAUCGUAAAACUCUGUUAUUAGGGAAGAACAUAUGUGUAAGUAACUGUGCACAUCUUGACGGUACCUAAUCAGAAAGCCACGGCUAACUACGUG
RNAcentral lists this ribosomal RNA (497 nucleotides) under uncultured bacterium. Its description in RNAcentral is "partial 16S ribosomal RNA". It matches the Rfam family "Bacterial small subunit ribosomal RNA", at positions 28 to 507 of the family's 1533-position model. The record is from RNAcentral.